RNAcentral lists this ribosomal RNA (450 nucleotides) under uncultured prokaryote. RNAcentral's name for it is "bacterial SSU rRNA". It matches the Rfam family "Bacterial small subunit ribosomal RNA", at positions 355 to 796 of the family's 1533-position model. The record is from RNAcentral.
UCGGGAGUAUUGGGCAAUGGGCGAAAGCCUGACCCAGCAACGCCGCGUGAGGGAUGAAGGUCUUCGGGUCGUAAACCUCUGUCGGGAGGGAAGAAAGGUCGGCGAAUCAAUACCUCGUCGGCUUGACGGUACCUCCAAAGGAAGCACCGGCUAACUCCGUGCCAGCAGCCGCGGUAAUACGGAGGGUGCAAGCGUUGUUCGGAAUCACUGGGCGUAAAGCGCGUGUAGGCGGCUUGGCAAGUCGGUUGUGAAAUCCCGAGGCCCAACCUCGGAACUGCAACCGAAACUGCCUCGCUCGAGUCCUGGAGAGGGUGGCGGAAUUUCCGGUGUAGAGGUGAAAUUCGUAGAUAUCGGAAGGAACACCAGUGGCGAAGGCGGCCACCUGGACAGUGACUGACGCUGAGACGCGAAAGCGUGGGGAGCCAACAGGAUUAGAUACCCCCGUAGUCC